CCUACGGGUUGCACCAGUGGGGAAUAUUGGACAAUGGGCGAAAGCCUGAUCCAGCAAUGCCGCGUGUGUGAAGAAGGUCUUCGGAUUGUAAAGCACUUUCGACGGGGACGAUGAUGACGGUACCCGUAGAAGAAGCCCCGGCUAACUUCGUGCCAGCAGCCGCGGUAAUACGAAGGGGGCUAGCGUUGCUCGGAAUGACUGGGCGUAAAGGGCGCGUAGGCGGUUUAUGCAGUCAGAUGUGAAAUCCCCGGGCUUAACCUGGGAACUGCAUUUGAGACGCAUAGACUAGAGGUCGAGAGAGGGUUGUGGAAUUCCCAGUGUAGAGGUGAAAUUCGUAGAUAUUGGGAAGAACACCGGUGGCGAAGGCGGCAACCUGGCUCGAUACUGACGCUGAGGCGCGAAAGCGUGGGGAGCAAACAGGAUUAGAUACC
RNAcentral lists this ribosomal RNA (431 nucleotides) under uncultured bacterium. RNAcentral's name for it is "bacterial SSU rRNA". It matches the Rfam family "Bacterial small subunit ribosomal RNA", at positions 338 to 786 of the family's 1533-position model. The record is from RNAcentral.